Molecule: non-coding RNA, 231 nt
Organism: Pelobates cultripes (western spadefoot toad)
Lineage: Eukaryota; Metazoa; Chordata; Amphibia; Anura; Pelobatidae
Source: the annotation of a GenBank genome assembly
AAUUGUGACAGAGAAGAUUAAAUAAUAAAAUUUAACUGUCUAUAUACAUAUAAGGUACCAUUGUAUGGAAAAGGGUAAACUUAGUUAAUGAUCUGUCAUAUCAGAAAUUAUGGCAGGAAUUGCAGACGCUAAGUCUGGACAAAACUUUAAGAAACCCUUUGAAAUCUGAAUUAUGACCACUAUCUAGAUAGGCCAAAAUGACGUCAAAAUAGCCACCAGGACAAGAAUGCC